Musa acuminata AAA Group (dessert banana) is the source of this 3227-nucleotide RNA transcript. It is a transcript of the gene named ubiquitin-related modifier 1 homolog, with no coding region annotated. Lineage: Eukaryota; Viridiplantae; Streptophyta; Magnoliopsida; Zingiberales; Musaceae. The transcript is spliced from 6 exons. The record is from RefSeq and is a predicted model, not a curated record.
UUUCGUAAAUAAACAUCUCAUUAACUAAGGCUCCGCACCUCUCUCUCUCUCUCUCGUUUGUCGCGCCCCCAUAGUUCUUGUUCUCUGCUCGUCGUCUCUUCUACGAUCGAUUCUUGUCCAAUUAGAUUCGAUGCAACUCACUCUGGAGUUUGGCGGCGGCCUGGAGCUCCUUUGCCAAUCCUCCAAGAUCCACAACGUAGAUGUGAAACCAAACCCCGGUGAGGACAAGCUAACGAUGCGCGACCUGUUGGCUUGGGUCAAGUCGAAUUUGAUCAAGGAGCGACCUGAGAUGUUCAUGAAAGGGGACUCGGUGACACCGGGGGUGUUAGUACUCAUAAACGAUUGUGACUGGGAACUAUGUGGCAGCCUGGACACGGAGUUGGAGGAGAAGGAUGUCGUGGUCUUUAUCUCUACCUUGCAUGGUGGUUAGCAUCGGUUUGCAGGGUGACAACAUCUGUUGAAUUUAUUAAAAGAAGAAUCUUAAUCAAGUUUAGUGGCAAAUAUUCUUUAAGCUGCUAAUAAGUAUAUGGGUCAUAUACAUCCAUUUCCCCUUCCAAUAAAGUCUGCAUCUGGGAACACAACUCAACGGUAAACCUCUCUUCCUUUUCCUUAUUUUGCAUGUAAUUGGUAUCUCAGAGACCAUUCCGAGAAGGUAAGCUUGCCUUAGAAUUUUUGGAUACCAGCUUUUCUGUGGAAUCUACAUGGAAUUCUGUUCUAUGUCAAGUUAUAUAAAAGAACAGUUCAAUCUUUUUUUUUUCCCUUAUUAAUAGAGCAUGCUGGACGUAACUUUUGGUACCUUCAUUAUCGUCAUGAAGUUUCCACCGGUUAUAAUCAGGGAAUGACUAUUUUCUGAGUGUGGAUUUCAUUUCAUCAUUUGACUUCAUGGCAAAUUGAUGGUAAAUGAUUUUCUACUUGUAAAUCUUGGUUGUAUUCACAUGGUCAAGAUGUUAGCCUUCGGACUCCUUGACAUUUUGGCAUCAGUUUUCUUAUUUUUCCAUGACAUUUGCGAUGGCUUCCUUCUAGAAAGAUGAUGUUUAUUUUACCAACGACAUUACGAUGGUUGGUAUUUCUAAGCAUGGAUUGAUCCUCUGAUUAUGAAGAUAAAUUUGUUUGACUCUCCAAAUGACACAAGACGAAAAACCAAAUGAGCAAUUUUGCGUGCUAGAGAGUUGCCAGGUUUUAUAUGUCCAUUGGUGCUAGUGCAUAUGCUAUGAUUAGUUCUGCAUUAGUUGCGGUCGAAGCUUGGUAAUGCAGAUGAGUCACUGUCCAUCCUCAAAUAGCAGCAAUUUAGUAUUCCUUUUCUAGGGCUUAUAUCAUGAGAAAUAGCAGUCUCAUUCAAAGAUGAGGAUACAUGACCCUAUUAUCUGAACCAAAGCAGGUCGAAAGAAACCUGUAUAAAUUGUUUCGGAAGAAACCUGUAUGAUCUGAACCAAAGCAGAUCAAAGGAAAGAUACAUGGAGGCCUGAAGUCUCACAGUCAAAACAUCAUGUUUGAAUACCUUUUAUCUACUAUUUUGUCUUUCUCAUGUUUUACUUUAUAAUCUCAGGUGCUUUUGUUAUGAAGUCUAUUGAAAUCUAUAUCUAGGGGUCACUUCAAACUGUCUUGGAGAAGAUAUAUUUUUGUUUAAUUAAUAUUCCUCUUAGACUAUCUGUCUUCUCUUAGCUCUUAUUAUUUAUUUGAUUCAUGUGCUGAUAUAUUUGUCUUGUCACUGGUGGAUGCAUUAGCUGGUUAGUUCACACAUUUCUUUCUUUGAAGAGGACAUAUGCCUGAACUUAAUAGACAAUUAUACUUUUGAUAUGAUGGAUCUUUAACCCUUAAAAUUUAUAUUCUAGCAAAUUAAUGACAUUGGAUCAUCAAACUCUUAUUCUUAUUAUUAUCAAUGUCUUUUUCUGGUUAAAUGAAUUCUUGCUACAAAACCAACUUAUUAUUAGCUUAACAUCCAGAUGAUUCUCUAGAUCAUCACACAAGAAAGAUAUACAAAUGUACACGAAAGACUUAUAUUUCAUGUUCCCUUGAGAAACAACCUCUUAUAACUAGAUAAAAAUCAUAACUCCAUUUUAGAGAUCUUUUACUAAGCUAAACAACCUCUCUAUGAUGCACAUAGGCAGCAUUGCACUGGUCCUGCCUUUUAUUAGUGGGGUUUUUUUUGUUGAUAUUGUUAGGUGGUAGAAAGCUGUAAAUAUUGCAGUUUAGCUUUACACAUUUGGAUUGGUAAAUGGUAACAAAAACAAUGGAAUGCUGCUGCCUGCUUACAGUAAGCUCCUCCACUUUGCAUGUGACAUUUCCAAAGUUUUGAGUUGAAUGUGUGGUCAAAAUCAAAUAAAAAAAAUUUGACCCUAUCUGUACGACAGCAAGCAUCUCAUUUCGUCUUAUUGUUUUUGUUGGUGCGUUCUUUUCCUUAUUUUAACUGUGCUAAAAUUGUUGGGGAGGAAGGACAUCACCAAUGAGCUCCAGGUUUUGAAGAUGCUUUAAGCUAAAACCAGUUGCAGGGCAACUCUCCUUGGGCGAGAGAUACAGUGGAGGAGUAAGCCUUGCAUCUCCCGUCACCGAUCAGCUUAUUAUUGGGCAAAGCCAACUACUACUUGGUUUCUGCUGCCUUCCUUUGUGCCGCGUCGCAGCCUUUUUUAUAUCAGGCUUUUAGGCGCGGCGGAGGUGGUACAAACCCACCAACUAUUCGGCAUAAGUUCACUGUGGGCAUGGCUUAUCCUCAUCGUCUUUUGGUACUUUCCUUUUCUUCCGCGACCAUCAUCCUGUAUUGUUCUUGAGACCAUCAUCCUGUAUGAGCCUUUCUGAUACGGAGAGGGGGAAAAUAAAGAGAAGAAAUGGGCUCGGUGGCGAAAGCGUGCUGCCUUGUGCUCUUCUUUUUAUCUCAUGGGAAGACGGCAGACCAAAACCAACCCCCUCAUAUUCCAUCCUUCCUGUCAUCAGCAAGUUAUGCCUCCACCGCAGGAGAUCAAGGGGUGCAUGCAAAGCGGUCGACGCUCGACUUAACAAGUUUUUUGAAAGUCAUUUAUAUAGGAAUGGUCAAUGAAUCGGUUCUUUACCAAUAAUAGAGUGGUACAGAGUGUCAGUCGGAUGGCAUAUGAUUGGAUAGAUCUUUGGGGUAGUAUCUAGGGUGUUUGUAAUUUAUAUUGUGAGGACUUAUGAUCGUGACGGAUUACCUUGGAUCCUUUAUCAUACGAUUGUUUAAAGUUUAUAAAAUUUAUGUUUAUAAUUUAUAUUGUCUA